CCUUUAAGUUUCAGACUUGCGUCCGUACUUCCCAGGCGGCAAACUUAACGGCUUCCCUGCGGCACUGCAUUGGCCAUAAGCCAAUGCAUCACCGAGUUUGCAUCGUUUACAGCUGGGACUACCCGGGUAUCUAAUCCGGUUUGCUCCCCCAGCUUUCAUCCCUCACCGUCGAACGCGUUCUGGUAGACCGCCUUCGCCACUGGUGGUCCUCUAUGGAUCAGUGGAUUUUACCCCUACCCACAGAAUACCGUCUACCUCUCCCGCUCCCUAGCUUUGUAGUAUCUCCGACAGCCCAUCUGUUAAGCUGCUGGAUUUAACCGGAGACUUGCAAAGCCGGCUACGGAUGCUUU
This 350-nucleotide ribosomal RNA is filed under the name uncultured archaeon. RNAcentral's name for it is "partial 16S ribosomal RNA". The record is from RNAcentral.